Molecule: ribosomal RNA, 250 nt
Filed under: uncultured bacterium
Lineage: Bacteria
Description: partial 16S ribosomal RNA
Rfam family: Bacterial small subunit ribosomal RNA
Source: RNAcentral
UACGGAGGGUGCAAGCAUUAAUCGGAUUUAUUGGGCGUAAAGGGCGCGUAGGCGGAAAGGAAAGUCAGAUGUGAAAUCCCGGGGCUCAACCCCGGAACUGCAUUUGAAACUCCCUUUCUAGAGGAUAGGCGGAGAAAAUGGAAUUCCACAAGUAGCGGUGAAAUGUGUAGAGAUCGGGAGGAACACCGGUGGCGAAGGCGGGUCUCUGGGCAAUUCCUGACGCUGAGGCGCGAAAGCGUGGGGAGCAAAC